This 75-nucleotide transfer RNA is filed under the name Magnetococcales bacterium. RNAcentral describes it as "tRNA-Val". It matches the Rfam family "tRNA". From Rfam's summary of the family: Transfer RNA (tRNA) molecules are approximately 80 nucleotides in length. Their secondary structure includes four short double-helical elements and three loops (D, anti-codon, and T loops). RNAcentral also lists the same sequence under 5 other names. Lineage: Bacteria; Pseudomonadati; Pseudomonadota; Magnetococcia; Magnetococcales. The record is from RNAcentral.
GGGCGGCUAGCUCAGCGGGAGAGCACUGCCUUCACACGGCAGGGGUCACAGGUUCAAUCCCUGUGCCGCCCACCA